Molecule: ribosomal RNA, 253 nt
Filed under: uncultured bacterium
Lineage: Bacteria
Description: partial 16S ribosomal RNA
Rfam family: Bacterial small subunit ribosomal RNA
Source: RNAcentral
UACGGAGGGUGCGAGCGUUGUCCGGAAUUACUGGGCGUAAAGGGCUCGUAGGCGGCCAACUAAGUCAGACGUGAAAUCCCUCGGCUUAACCGGGGAACUGCAUCUGAUACUGGAUGGCUUGAGUUCGGGAGAGGGAUGCGGAAUUCCAGGUGUAGCGGUGAAAUGCGUAGAUAUCAGGAGGAACACCUGUGGUGUAGACAGCUUACUGGACCAUUUCUGACGCUGAGACACGAAAGCGUGGGUAGCAAACAGG